This is a long non-coding RNA of Drosophila mauritiana, 955 nucleotides long. RefSeq lists it as uncharacterized. The transcript has 3 exons. Lineage: Eukaryota; Metazoa; Arthropoda; Insecta; Diptera; Drosophilidae. The record is from RefSeq and is a predicted model, not a curated record.
AGCUGGAAUAAACGCGUGUCCCACUCAGAACCCGAAAAACAGGGUGUCCACAAUGGCGAAAUAUCUUUAAAAUAUUUUAGGAAUUACUAAAAAUAUUAUUAAAAUAUUCAGGGGAGUUACCAAAAAUGAUUAAACAAAAUACGCAUAAUGAGUGUGUUUGCGCCACUGGCACUUUCUUGGCCUGAUAAGAGAUUUGCAUCAAUGAAAAUGGAGCACUUUGGAGUCGGAGACAAAAAUGUGAAUGCACCGCAGGAUGUUGACUCUACAGCCGCUCUGACUAACUGGAAAAUCCCCCAUUACGAUAACUUUGAAAAUAUGCACUUUAUGGUUUGUUUGCGUUGCAAUUAUUUUGUUGCUGCUGAGGUUUCCUUGAAUUUUUGUGGUUGGCAACUAAGACAUGUAAAUCUUGUUAUUGAAUGCUUGCAAAGAUCUGGAUUUCGAAUCUAGUUUACGCUUUUCGAAUCCAACCGAAAGUGGUUUCAACUGCCGUAUCCAGCUAACUGUGAAGCCGUCGUCCAUAACUAUCUCUCUUCCACCGAUGAUCAUGAUCACCACGACGUUGUAAUCAAACAAACAAACAGUGGAUAAAAACAGACAGAGGAACGUGUUCUGUCGUCAAAUGGGCGUGAAGUCUUCUGAAAAUGGGAUGAUCUUGAAAAACGAAAUCUAAAGCCUAAGUAAAAUUUGCAUACUAUAUAUUUGCCACAUCUAAAGUAUGAAUGAAUUGCUAUAUAAUUUGUUAUCCAUUUUGUAAAGUCCCGAGAAAACAACGAACCCUAAUCAAUCCGCUGUGCGAAUUUCCUGCUGGCCGACUUAUCAAAAUCCAAAACAUAUGUUUGGAGGAACCACAAGGCUCCUGCUGUACUAUAGUACUACAAACUAAGCUCUGUAACGAAGUCCACUGAUUAGUGUCCCAUUGCCAGUAGACUACAAAAUACAGACGCGCAUAAAUAUA